AUUGAACGCUGGCGGAAUGCUUUACACAUGCAAGUCGAACGGCAGCACGGACUUCGGUCUGGUGGCGAGUGGCGAACGGGUGAGUAACAUAUCGGAACGUAUCCAAUAAUGGGGGAUAACUAAUCGAAAGGUUGGCUAAUACCGCAUACGCCCUACGGGGGAAAGCAGGGGAUCUUCGGACCUUGCGUUAAUGGAGCGGCUGAGAUCUGAUUAGCUAGUUGGUGAGGUAAAGGCUCACCAAGGCGACGAGCAGUAGCUGGUCUGAGAGGACGACCAGCCACACUGGAACUGGAACACGGUCCAGACUCCUACGGGAGGCAGCAGUGGGGAAUUUUGGACAAUGGACGCAAGCCUGAUCCAGUCAUUCCGCGUGAGUGAAGAAGGCCUUCGGGUUGUAAAGCUCUUUCGCAAGGGAAGAAAACUUACUUUCUAAUAAAGAGUGAGGUUGACGGUACCUUGAUAAGAAGCACCGGCUAACUACGUGCCAGCAGCCGCCGUAA
Molecule: ribosomal RNA, 500 nt
Filed under: uncultured bacterium
Lineage: Bacteria
Description: partial 16S ribosomal RNA
Rfam family: Bacterial small subunit ribosomal RNA
Source: RNAcentral